This is a long non-coding RNA of Sciurus carolinensis (gray squirrel), 2395 nucleotides long. RefSeq lists it as uncharacterized. The transcript is spliced from 2 exons. NCBI's taxonomy places the organism in Eukaryota, Metazoa, Chordata, Mammalia, Rodentia, Sciuridae. The record is from RefSeq and is a predicted model, not a curated record.
UUCUUCAGACAACUUUCAAAAUGUGGUAUAAAAGACUUAGUUUGGAGGAAUCUUUUUUUUUUUUUUUUUUAAUGUCUUCUUGGAAUAUAAUUAACAGAGUUCAUAAAGGAUUUAGUAAGAAACUUGCUCUGGAAUAUAGUGUUGGUCUAAAUUUAAAUAGACAUUGAUAUGAAAAAUAAAAAGUAAACAGUGAGGGGCUGGAGCUAUGACUCAGUGGUAGAGUGCUUGCACAGCUCAUAGGAGGCACUUGGUUCAAUCCUCAGCCCUACAGAGAAACAAAUAAAUAAAAAUAAUAGCAGAUGGAGUUUAAAAAAAAAAAAAGAGUGAUUUGGACUUAAAAAAAAAAAAAAGUAAACAGUGAAAUGGAGUUCUGGAAGAAAAUGCAGGCUUAUUUAAUGAAAAAAAUGUGUGUUUUUUUCCAUGAUGUCUUUUGAGUGCAUGUGUGUGUGAUUCUUCUUGAAGAAAUCCAUGUUCAGAUUUAUCAGCUGACUGAAGUAGGCAUUUCGAAUAAAGAAAACUGAAGCCUGAGGAAGCAACCCGACACCCUCCCUUGCCUCCAGUGUGUGGUAUAUUUUAAAAAUGAAUUUUAAUUAUUUGACUUGGCAUUUUAUGGAGGCAAUUUUGUAACACCUCAGAAGAUAUCUGCAGACACCCGGGGUGUCAUAAAUCUAAGAUUAAAAGUCAUUUCUCUGAAAAGAAUAAAACAAAGGACUGUUAACUCUGAUCCAGACAUCUAAGGGGAUCUCCAAAAUAUUUAUACUUCAACUCCCUAUAAAAGCUCUAGCUUGCCUUUUCCCUUACUGAAUACUACAUCUCAAAAUAAACUUCUUUCUCUGAUUUUCAUAUGUAUGUAAAUGAUUUUUCUUAAGUGGAUCUCAGAACAUGUAUUUAUUAUAAGUUUCGUUAUAAAGAUAAACAUUGGUGCAGUUGCAAGAUAGACUGUGGCCGUAAUUACAUCAUUGCUGCCGAAUCACAGGACACCUAAAUUGGGAAUGGUCAGAGUUGGUGCAUAACUGAAAUUUCAAGAAUGGAACUAGGAAUGGAGGAAGUCAUAGUUAGCUAUUCAAAUAAUCAAGGACUUGGAAAAAUCACCUUCAGAUAAGAUUAUAGCAAUUAGUAAGAGCUGUGUGAAUGGGAAAAUAGUAGUUUUGUUUUGUUUUUUUCCACAAGCCCAAAGUUCUAUUUUCCAUGCCUUCCAUCCAAUCACAUGUCACUUCUGUUUGUUAUUUAAUUUUAAAUUCUACAUAUUUUAUGAUUAUGGUGAAAAUAUUUGGGGAAUAACCAGUAACCUUACAAGUAUUAAUAUUAUGUAAAUGGAACAGUGUAUACUGAAGCACAUAAGAUACUCCAUUUCAGUUAGAUAAUUUAUCAUGAUUUUUAACAAAUAAAUAAAAAUUGCAGUCUCAUUUUCUCCCUCUGUUUGGUAAGUAUAAGAGGCUUUACCCAUUCCAAAAAGGAGGGAAGAAAAGUGGUCCUCAGACAUAAAUUCAAGUGGUCGAUGAGAGUACGUGGUUUUUUAAUUGCACUGUUUGAAAGUAUUUUGCCACAUCUGGUGACCAUGCUGUUUAGCAGCAAAUUACUCUAUGGCUUCACAACCUCUAGUUGUUGUCAGUUUGGGGUUUUGGGAGGGGGCUUUCCCCUCCUCCUCCUCUUUGCAACUCUCUCCAGAGCCCACAUAAUUAUCCAGGAGGUUACUCAUGAUGGCCUGUCUCAAGGCUGGUGCAACAUGUGCUAGUGAAACCAUGCAAAAGCCUAAAAUAUGGCAGUACAAUUUCUUUUCACCCACCAAGUGCCAAAAUAAAACCUUUUAUAGACUGUAAGCAUUAAAAAAAAAUGGUAAUAAAAAUAUUAUAAGGCAAAAAAUAUAAAAUGAAUUUCAAACAAUUUGAUUUUUUUCCUUGUUGUCUACUGUAAUGCUUCUAAAAAAGUCUUUUGAAAGAUUUCUUCAUUUGAGUUCCACCCAUACUGAGAACUUGCACACAUGUGUGGACCAGUUAUUGGGUAACUAGGCACCACACAUUGCAGAUACUGCAUCCUUUUGUGGUCAGGCAUUUUUAAUAACCCACAUACCCAGUGUCACUGUUUAAAAACUGACUGAUGAUAUCGUGGAUCCUGGCUUGCCAGCUGUGACAGUGAAAUUGUUGUAUUUAACACUCAUUCAUUUCCCUGACUUCAGCAUUGCUUUGGAGCACUAGACCCUGGGUGUUCUGCCCAGUGAGGUCAUUAAAACUACUCUAUUCUGAAAGCUUGACUUCUUCAGGAAACUGUCUACCAGUGAACUUCGUGAGCACUACCUGCCUGUAAAUAACCCCCUUUCUCUCAUCACAAAAAGACAAGAUGGGAAAAAAGACCAAACAAUAGAAUGAAAAAAAAAAAAAAAAAAAAAAAAAAGGAA